UAACAUUUACUAAGAGCUCAGA
Molecule: microRNA, 22 nt
Filed under: Schistosoma mansoni
Lineage: Eukaryota; Metazoa; Platyhelminthes; Trematoda; Strigeidida; Schistosomatidae
Description: sma-miR-8437-3p
Source: miRBase by way of RNAcentral